This 2652-nucleotide long non-coding RNA is filed under the name Homo sapiens (human). Its description in RNAcentral is "HSALNT0162927". Lineage: Eukaryota; Metazoa; Chordata; Mammalia; Primates; Hominidae. The record is from RNAcentral.
CGGCUGUUAACAUAAAGAGACUGAUUUGGAACAGGAUGAGGAACCCCAGGAGAAGCCUUGGCAAUAAUAUUCCGAUACUGCCCAUCCGAAUCAGUCACAGCAGACUGGUCAGACCUGAUUUAACUCUGAUGAAUAUUUCCUUCUUAUCCUUAAAUCUGAAAAAUGCUGACACAACCCUCUGAGGACUUUACUAGAGGAGGAAUGUCAGAACUAAUCUGCAGAUCCUGGCACACUGUCUGGAAAACAGGAAGUAUCCAGUAAAAGAUUCUAAAAAUGCUUCUUGGCAGUCUCCUACCUUGUAUUGUUCCAGAUGAGACAUCUGCUGUUGUCUUUGACUGCUUUAUUCAGACUGCUUUUAAGUUUUAACUUUUAUCUUUGGCUUUGAAAAUUUUUAUUAUGAUGUGUCUUACUGAAGUUUUCUUCAUGUUUUUCUCAUGCUUGGGAUUUGUUGAGCUUCUUGAAUCUGCCCGUGUGUAGAGUCUGUCGAAUCUGGAAAUUUGCAGCCAUUGUGUCAUAAAAUACUUUCCCUUCCUCUUUCAAGAAUAUCAAUCACACAUAGCCAUUUGACAUUGUCCCAUAGCUCAUGGAUGCUCUGUUUAUUUUGGCUUAGUUUAUUUUUUCUCUGUGUGUUUCAUUUCAGAUAGUUUUUAUUGUUCUAUCUUCAACAUCUCUAGCCUUUUCUUCAAACGUGUUUAUUUUUUUGUUAAUCUGUUAAUCCUAUCCAGUAUAUUUUUCAUAUUAGACAUUGCAUUCCUUUUUCAUAUAUUCCAUGGCUCUAUUUAUCAUGCUCAUAAUUUAUCUUCAUGUACAUUUAGAAUGUAAUAACAUUUUAUUGUCCUUGCUAUUAAUUCUAUCAUAUCUGUAACUCUGAGGUCUGUUUCUAUUAUUUUUUUUUUUACUACUUAAUGGGUCACAAUUUCUUGCUUUUUAAAAUACCUAGUAAUGUUUCAUUGGAAUAUUAGACAUUAUACAUUUUACCUGGUUACAUGAUAAAUGUCUUUCUGUUUCUUCAGAUAUUCUUGAAUGUUGUGCUAGGAGAGAGGCACAUUACUUGGAAGCAGUGUGAUCCUUUUUGGUAUGGCUUUUUUUAUUUAUAAGCUGUGUUAAGAGCAGAACUCAGUAGCAGGACUAAUUAUUUCCCACUACUAAGUCAGACUCCGUCUGAAUACUCCAACCAAUGUAGAAUUUUUCCAUUCUGUGAAUUAAUUUUCCACCCUGGCCAGUUAGAAUAUAAAUUAUUCUUAGUCCUAUGUGAAUGUUGAGAUGAUUUCUCUGUUCUUUUCAGGUUCUUUCCAUAGCCUCAGGUAGUUUCCUUAGAUGUCUGUGCCAAUCAACAUUCAACUGCAGACUUAAGGAAGACUCUGCAAAUCUCAUGGUCUGCCCCUUUGUACAGAUGUUUUCUCGCCAGUAUUCUGUGAUAUGAAUUCUAGCUGCCUUAGACUUACCAGUCACCUACUUUUGCCUCCUAAACUCAGAGAUACCUUCAUGCUUCACCUGGAUUACCUCUGAAAAGUAGCUCAAAAGUAUCUUCAGGCUAUAAUCCAGCAUAAUCACAGUGUUCACUUCAUUUGUCUCUCCUCUCUAAAGGAACACUGUUCUGAUAACCAAUAUAUGAAAAUGUGUUUUAACUAACUUCAUUUCAUUUUGUAGUUGUUUCAGUCAGAUAGGAAAAUAUAGACUCUAUUACUCUAUCCUGGCUUAAAAUGAAAAUUCCCCAGAGAUGUUCCAAUUAUUUGAAGAAAUUUUUGUUGUCUUUUUGCAAGCCUUCCUAUGGUUUGAAUACUUGUGUCCCUCCAAAAUUCAUGCUGAAAUGUAAUCUCCAAUGCAACAUUAUUAAGAAAUGAGUCCUUAGGAGAUGAUUAGGCCAGGAGGGCUUUGUCCUCCUGGAUUGGAUUAGUACCUGAAGAGAAUUAGCUAGGCCCUUUUGUCUUUCUGUCCCUUCUGCCAUGCAAGUACACAGUGGCCCUCACUGGACACUGAACCUGCUAGUACCUUUAUCUUGGAUGUUCAGCCUCCAGAAUUGUGAAAAAUAAAUUUCUGUUUAUAUAAAUUACCCUGGAUUCUGAUAUUUUGUUAUUGCAGCACAAAUGAACUAAUACAUAAAUUGGUACCAAGAAGUUAGGUAUUUCUAUAAUAAACACCUAGAAAAAUGAAAGCAGCUUUGGAACUGGGUGAUAGCUACAGGUUGAACCAUAAAGUGCUAUCUUGGGGAGAGCUCAGAAGAAAAGGAAAGCUGUAAAGAAAGCCAGAGAUUAAGUGGCUGUGAUUAGAACAUUGGUGAAAAUGUGAAGACAAUUCUGAUAAAGUCUCAGGUGAAAAUGAGAAACAAAGUACAGUAGUCUUUUAUCUGUAGAUUUUUUUCUGCAGUUUCAUUUACCCAUGGUUAACUUUGGUUUGGAAAUAUUAAAUGGAAAAUUCCCUUAAAAAAACUAUAAGUUUUAAAUUGGUUACCAUUGUGAGUAGCAUAAUAAAAUCUCUUGCCAUCCUGCUCCAUGUUCCAUCCUACCCUGGAUGGAAUCAUCACUUUCUACACAGUAUCCACACUACCUUUGCUACCUGCCUGUUAGUAACUUAGUCACUCUGAUUUGUCUCAAAAAUUAUUCACAGGCCUCAAGAUUUAAAGUUGUUUUCCUUGUGGGGUUUUAGACUUCC